AGGCUUUGUGUUUCCUUCCUCAAUACUAAAAUUAGAAUGAUACAGAGAAAAUUAGCAUGCCCACUGCGAAAGGAUGACACACAAAUUCGUGAACCUUUCAGUAAUUUU
Molecule: small nuclear RNA, 108 nt
Filed under: Sciurus vulgaris (Eurasian red squirrel)
Lineage: Eukaryota; Metazoa; Chordata; Mammalia; Rodentia; Sciuridae
Source: RNAcentral